AUGAGUAACACAGUUAUCUACGUCAUUUUCAUAUUUGUUCCCCUUUCCGGAGUGUUUUGUCAGUUUUCUAAUUGCGACGCGUUGGGUUUUGGCUUGGAUUCCCAAAACCCAUCUGAAUGUUGCACGUCGGAAGCUUUUGAUUAUUUGAAUAGAAACUAUAAAUGGAAGUACACACUUAAUGAAACACGAUCAUUGUAUAUUGCUGAACUGAGAUCUCUCAGGACUUUGUGAAAACAGCAGUACUUUUCUCUCUACAACAGAAAAACUGACGACAAGUUUCACAACUACAGAAACCUCUAUUACAGACUUGGACUCCACAACUGCUGAAACCACGAGUGUACCUACAACAACAACAUCUAUUCAAUGUGGAGUAUUGGCAAACACAUCAUGCUGUAAUCUCAAAGUGACUGAAUGCUUGUCGAAACAAUAUGAGGAUUGGCGAAAUGUCACUUUAAUUAAAGGAUAUGAACGAGAACUGGAGAAAUGUGAUUGCGUAUUGACAUCAAGCAGUACUGAAACGGAAAUCGCUUCAACCACUUCCUUGCCAACAACAACAUCUCCAAGUUUGAACUGUUAUUGGCUCUCCGAACCAUCUAAUUUUUCCGAGUGGAUAGAUGGAAAACAAACAAACUUAAGAUAUAAUGGGGGAUGCUGCUCUGAAACUUCAAUUCAAGUUUUGAAUAGCAGUGAUAGUACUAGGUGGAUUCUUACCACAUCCGAUUCUUGGAACAAGGCAAACGCUUUGAUAAACCUGCUAUAUUGUACUCCGAAUGCCUGCCCCCAGCAGUCUAUGCUUUGGACUAACUGCUCAAAUUUAUCAACAACCACUUCAAGUUCUACCAUGUUAUCUUCUACAACAUUGCUUACAACAGAGACGGAAACACGUGAAUCAUCAUCUACUGGCUCAACUCAAACGACAACUCCAUCUACAGAACCAUCUACUACAAUCACAACUCCAAUGGAGCAAAGUUCUACAGUUUCAUCGGUCCAGAAAACUAGAACAUCUGAAGACAAACCCAGUAGCUCAACAACAGUGCCCACAUCUGCAUCGACAUCUGAAUCAUCUACGUCCUCUCCAAUGGCUGAGACGUCCAGCUCUUCUACCACGUCUCAAUCAUCUCCGGCAUCAACAUCCACUGUUCCAGAGAGUUCUACAGUCGGCAGCACUCCCACGACAGGAUUGACAACUCUUUCCACAAAUGAGCAGAGUACUUCGACAUCAUCAGGAGGACAUUCAACCUCCACUUUUGGCACAACAUCUGAGACUCCUGAGACAUCAACGGAUUUUACAGCAACCUCAACAUCUUCUAGCUCAGAUUCAAGUACACAAUCAUCCAAUGCCCAAACUUCGACUAUUGAGAACGGUUCUACUACAACUAAUUUCACGUCAGCUCCAAGUACUAGCUCAACACCAGCGACUCCAACGACCACCUACAACUGGCCAACUGGAGGAACUACGUGGAUGCUCCCAUCUGGAGAAAUUGUUCUCUCGGAAUCUCUAAUUGCGUAUCCAAACUGUACCACAGUUCUUAUGCAAUUGAUCUACAAUCCAAGAACCAAAGAAACUAGAACAGAAAUAACAAGCGAUGCAGAAGGAUGUAAGAAAACAUCUUCGACACCAACGCCCUCAUCAACUUCGGUGCACUCAACAACUGCAACUCCUUCUACUACCCCAGGAACCACAACCUAUAACUGGCCAACUGGCGGAACUACUCGGAUGCUUCCAUCAGGAGAAAUUAUUCUUUCCGAGUCUUUGAUAGCCUAUCCUAACUGUACUACAGUUCUUAUGCAAUUGAUCUACAAUCCAAGUACAAAAGAAACUAGGACAGAGACUACAACUGAUGCCGAUGGAUGUAAGAAGACGUCUUCUACUUCAUCUUCUACGCCCUCGUUAAAACAUUCAACAACUCCGACUCCUACCCCAGGAACCACGACCUACAACUGGCCCACUGGCGGAACUACUCGGAUGCUUCCAUCUGGAGAAAUUAUUCUGUCGGAGUCUCUAAUAGCUUAUCCAAAUUGUACGACGGUUCUCAUGCAACUCAUCUACACUCCAAGCACCAAUAAAACCAGGACAGAGACCACUACGGAUACAGAAGGAUGUAAGAAAACGUCUACGAUCUCUUCAUCUUCGUCAAAGUUUUCAAUAACUCCAACACCUACUCCUUCUUCCGGCACCACCACUUACAAUUGGCCAACUGGUGGAACGACGAGGACGCUUCCAUCUGGAGAAAUUAUUCUUUCGGAGUCUCUCAUAGCCUUCCAAAACUGUACGACAGUUCUUAUGCAAUUGAUCUACAAUCCGAGUACUAAUAAAACCCGAACAGAGACUACAACUGAUGCAGAAGGAUGUAAAAAAACGUCCUCCACCUCAAAAAUCUCCACAACUCCAACAUCACCCACUUCUUCAAAACCAACUCCUACAUCUACUUCCAUGACUACAACCUACAACUGGCCAACUGGUGGAACUACUCGUACGCUUCCAUCUGGAGAAAUUAUUUUAUCAGAGUCAUUGAUUGCUUAUAAAAACUGCACAACAGUUCUUAUGCAGUUGAUCUACAAUCCUAGUACCAAUAAAACUAGAACAGAGACCACAACCGAUGCUCAAGGAUGUAAGGCAACUUCAUCGACUUCAUUAAAGCCCACAUCUCCUUCAUCUUCAACUGCUUCUCCUCCAACUACCACUUACAACUGGCCAACUGGGGGAACUACUAGAACUCUCCCAUCUGGUGAAAUUAUUCUAUCUGAGUCACUAAUUGCCUACAAAAACUGUACCACAGUUUUGAUGCAAUUAAUCUACAACCCAUCAACUAACAAGACUAGAACGGAAACUACCACUGACGCGCAGGGAUGUAAGGCAACAAUCACAACACCAACCCCAAUAACAACAACAUACAAUUGGCCAACAGGUGGGACAACCAGGACUCUUCCGUCUGGAGAAAUUAUCCUCUCCGAAUCGCUGAUUGCUUACAAAAACUGCACUACCGUUCUAAUGCAAUUGAUCUACAACCCAAGCACAAAUAAGACUAGGACUGAAACCACCAGUGACGCUCAAGGAUGUAAAGCAACCUCAACUACACAAACACCAACCACAUUCAACUGGCCAACUGGAGGAACCACUCGAACACUGCCAUCUGGAGAAAUUAUUCUGUCGGAAUCCUUGAUUGCGUAUAAGAAUUGUACAACUGUGCUAAUGCAAUUGAUCUACAACCCUAGCAAAAACACGACUCGAACUGAAACAACAAGUGAUGCGGAAGGAUGUAAAGCCACUUCCAGUGGAACGACAUCAACAAUGUCUCCCGGAACAACAGGAGGAACCACUGUUUCGAGAACAACUAACUCAAACAAUCCAAUCGAUUCAUCCACUCUCGAAACCACAACUUUCGCCUGGCCAACUGGUGGAACUACUCGGAUGCUUCCCUCUGGAGAAAUUAUCAUAUCCGAAUCCUUGACUGCAUUCCCGAAUUGCACUACUGUUCUGAAACAAUUGGUCUACAAUCCAACAACCAAUACGACUAGAACUGAUACUAUUUCCGAUUCUGAAGGAUGUAAAGCAACAUCAACUGCCAAGCCAACAACUGUAAUCUCAUCCACUGCUACAUGCUCCUCCCUCAACCUAAAUCUCAACUCAACAACCCGCCCGACGUCGUCCGAGAUUAAAGAUUCCUAUUCAGUUGGAGAAAAGAUAUAUCACAUUUGUGAAAAAGACUAUUCAUUUGAAAUUGCUCUGCAGCCUCUGAAAAUAUAUCAAUGCUUGAAUGGUGGAGCAUGGUCAGGAACACCGGAAAAGUGUGUUGCCACCGGCAAAUCAGAGCUCUGAGA
This 3822-nucleotide unclassified non-coding RNA is filed under the name Caenorhabditis elegans. Its description in RNAcentral is "Non-coding transcript of protein-coding gene F26C11.3e". The record is from RNAcentral. Lineage: Eukaryota; Metazoa; Nematoda; Chromadorea; Rhabditida; Rhabditidae.